UGGAGCACUGUACCAAUGAACUGGAAGAGGAAAAUAAGUCAUUUGUCGGAUGAACACGUUUUUUGGAGUGUUAUAAGCCCACAGUGUUGGUCGCGGAGUUGAGUCUGAAAAUAAAUAGACUCAAACCUUUAAUGAACAGUGGGGGGUCUGCUGCCCGGAGUGAUCUAAGAGCAGAAAAACCCCUCUGAACCAUGCGUACCAGCCCCAAAUUAAGGUGAUCCGACGACCCGUUUCAUCUCCUCAUCCUCCUGCCAAGACGGCUUUCUCUCUGCACGGCAGAAAGGCAGAAAGCAGCAGUUCUGAAACGCUGCACAUUUCUUGGAAGUCAAAAGAGGCUGGGUCCCAGCCAAGACUUUGUUGGAUUUUUUUUUUCAUCACCUAAGAAUCUCUGCUACCCAAUGCACUUCGACCUCAGGACGAAGUGACACAGACGGCGAGACGGUAUGCUCUACCGCCAUGUUGUGUGUGGAUGUGUGGAGCUCCAUCUGAGGAGGAACAACAAAGCAGUGGAACAAAUCACCAAUGACCUCCAGCGGAUGACCUUCGUGCUGCAUCGUGAUUGGUCCAAGUGUGUAUCUCACACUAAUGACAUCAUGACCCAUGCAGCUUGAUGUGAGGGUUAAUCUAAUCACUUUCAAAAAAUGGAAUACAGAAUACUUAAACUUUGUGAUUGUCUGCUCAAGUUCCUGUUUGACAGCUGCAUCUUUAGCUUGAAGAGCAGUGACCAAGCAAUCACUAUUAUAAACAGCCUUCAAUUACCAAGCUGGUUGACCUAGAGUAGUACACAGCUGAACAGGUGGCAUUCGGGGCUUGUGUUGAUUGGUAUGACUGACAUCUGUUUUAUUUGUUGUUGAAGUUGAGGCAUUUCUUUAGAAAUCUUUGCCGCUAAUUUAAUAUCGAGCAUUGAGGAAAUGGUUUAUCUCAUGACAGGAGAUAUUCACAAAUCACUGUAUUCAUGUACGCAUAAAAAUUGAUCGUAUUGAUAUAUACAACCUUUGAAAAAAGAAAACACAAACCAACAAAGACGGCAUGAAUUGCAAAACCUAAUUGUUACUAUUCCUAUCCUGUUUCCCAUUCACAACAUCCAUAGUGUUAGGUUAGCUAUUCAUCAGUUUCAAUGAUGCCAGCCAAGCUAAUUGCUACCCCAUCCAUCGUUGGUUUGGACCCUUUGUAUCUCUAACCCAACCUCGCUUUGACUAAGAUAGUUUCUGCAUUGAACAGGAUACCUAGUGUGAAUAUUCACACUUUUCCAUUUUAUAGCCAAAAUCUUGGUAAAUAGUAAAUCUGUGGAAUAUCAAAGUUCAGAGAAUGCGGCCCUUUGUUUAAAAAACGAUUUAUAUAUUGACAGAAGAAACAGUGAUUGAUUAUUAAAUAUAUUUUUUAAAUAGAAUACA
Molecule: long non-coding RNA, 1394 nt
Organism: Gadus chalcogrammus (walleye pollock)
Lineage: Eukaryota; Metazoa; Chordata; Actinopteri; Gadiformes; Gadidae
Exons: 3
Source: RefSeq, a predicted model, not a curated record